CAUGCCUAACACAUGCAAGUCGAACGGAAACGAUGGGAGCUUGCUCUCAGGCGUCGAGUGGCGGACGGGUGAGUAAUACAUAGGAAUCUACCCAGUAGCGGGGGACAACCUGGUGAAAACCAGGCUAAUACCGCAUACGACCUACGGGUGAAAGCAGGGGAUCUUCGGACCUUGCACUAUUGGAUGAGCCUAUGUCAGAUUAGCUUGUUGGUAGGGUAAUGGCCUACCAAGGCGACGAUCUGUAGCUGGUCUGAGAGGACGAUCAGCCACACUGGGACUGAGACACGGCCCAGACUCCUACGGGAGGCAGCAGUGGGGAAUAUUGCACGAUGGGCGCAAGCCUGAUGCAGCAAUGCCGCGUGUGUGAAGAAGGCCUGCGGGUUGUAAAGCACUUUCAGUGGGGAGGAAAACGUAACGGUUAAUAACCGUUGCCCUGACGUUACCCACAGAAGAAGCACCGGCUAACUCUGUGCCAGCAGCCGCGGUAAUACAGAGGGUGCGAACGUUAAUCGGAAUUACUGGGCGUAAAGCGCGCGUAGGCGGCUUGGUCAGUCGGAUGUGAAAGCCCCGGGCUUAACCUGGGAAUUGCAUUCGAUACUGCCAGGCUAGAAUGUAGUAGAGGGUAGUGGAAUUCCGGGUGUAGCGGCCCCAUCCCAGAUAUCCGGAGGAACCUCCAUCCGAAGGCGCCUACCUGGAAUAACAUUGACCAUGAGGUGCGAAAGCGGGGGGAGCAUACUCGAUUUGA
This 745-nucleotide ribosomal RNA is filed under the name uncultured bacterium. RNAcentral's name for it is "bacterial SSU rRNA". It matches the Rfam family "Bacterial small subunit ribosomal RNA", at positions 43 to 782 of the family's 1533-position model. The record is from RNAcentral.